UACGGAAGGGGCAAGCGUUGUUCGGAAUUAUUGGGCGUAAAGGGCGCGUAGGUGGUUUGUCGCGUUGUUCGUGAAAACUCACAGCUCAACUGUGGGCGUGCGGGCGAUACGGGCAGACUAGAGUACUGCAGGGGAGACUGGAAUUCCUGGUGUAGCGGUGGAAUGCGCAGAUAUCAGGAGGAACACCGGUGGCGAAGGCGGGUCUCUGGGCAGUAACUGACGCUGAGGAGCGAAAGCGUGGGGAGCGAACAGG
RNAcentral lists this ribosomal RNA (253 nucleotides) under uncultured bacterium. RNAcentral describes it as "partial 16S ribosomal RNA". It matches the Rfam family "Bacterial small subunit ribosomal RNA", at positions 524 to 776 of the family's 1533-position model. The record is from RNAcentral.